UACAGAGGUCCCGAGCGUUGUUCGGAUUCACUGGGCGUAAAGGGUGCGUAGGUGGUGGGGUAAGUCGGAUGUGAAAGCUCGGAGCUCAACUCCGAAAUGGCAUUGGAAACUACCCUGCUGGAGGUUUGGAGGGGGGACUGGAAUACUUGGUGUAGCAGUGAAAUGCGUAGAUAUCAAGUGGAACACCAGUGGCGAAGGCGGCUCACUGGCCCGGUACUGACGCUGAGGUGCGAAAGCGUGGGGAGCAAACAGG
Molecule: ribosomal RNA, 253 nt
Filed under: uncultured bacterium
Lineage: Bacteria
Description: partial 16S ribosomal RNA
Rfam family: Bacterial small subunit ribosomal RNA
Source: RNAcentral